UACGGGGGGGGCAAGCGUUGUUCGGAAUUACUGGGCGUAAAGGGCUCGUAGGUGGCCAACUAAGUCGAACGUGAAAUCCCUGGGCUCAACCCAGGAACUGCGUCCGAUACUGGUUGGCUUGAAUCCGGGAGAGGGAUGUGGAAUUCCAGGUGUAGCGGUGAAAUGCGUAGAUAUCUGGAGGAACACCGGUGGCGAAGGCGGCGUUCUGGACUGCAACUGACACUGAGGAACGAAAGCCAGGGGAGCAAACGGG
RNAcentral lists this ribosomal RNA (253 nucleotides) under uncultured bacterium. RNAcentral's name for it is "partial 16S ribosomal RNA". It matches the Rfam family "Bacterial small subunit ribosomal RNA", at positions 524 to 776 of the family's 1533-position model. The record is from RNAcentral.